RNAcentral lists this ribosomal RNA (253 nucleotides) under uncultured bacterium. Its description in RNAcentral is "partial 16S ribosomal RNA". It matches the Rfam family "Bacterial small subunit ribosomal RNA", at positions 524 to 776 of the family's 1533-position model. The record is from RNAcentral.
UACAGAGGUGGCAAGCGUUGUUCGGAAUUACUGGGCGUAAAGGGCGCGUAGGCGGCCAUCUAAGUCAGACGUGAAAUCCCCCGGCUUAACCUGGGAACUGCGUCUGAUACUGGAAGGCUUGAGUAUGGGAGAGGGAUGUAGAAUUCCAGGUGUAGCGGUGAAAUGCGUAGAUAUCUGGAGGAAUACCGGUGGCGAAGGCGGGAUCCUGGGCCAGUACUGACGCUGAGGAGCGAAAGCGUGGGGAGCAAACAGG